CGAUGAGAGUUUGAAGAUCUACAUUGAAAUCUUUUACCUAAGAAACUUAGUCCUUACCCAUAAACCCAGGAGAAGAGGGGGAGCACGCAUCAGAGCUAGUAAAUAUAGAAAAAGUCAAACAUUCCUCAUCAAGGCCUCGGAAGAAACCAAAGAAACCAAAAAAACACCAAGGGAGAAAAUGUCCACUGAAACACGUGCCUGCCUGGGUGUGAGGAUAUCCUAUGACAGUCACUGUCGCUCAGGCAGCUGCCAGGCUGUUGCAGGACCCAGGUGGAAGAGAGAGGGAGGAGCUACGCCUUUGACUGAAUUUGGAACCUUUCAUUAUUACAAUUUCUGAAUUGAGAC
Long non-coding RNA from Homo sapiens (human), 345 nucleotides. RefSeq lists it as uncharacterized. The record is from RefSeq and is a predicted model, not a curated record. The transcript is spliced from 3 exons. NCBI's taxonomy places the organism in Eukaryota, Metazoa, Chordata, Mammalia, Primates, Hominidae.